This is a long non-coding RNA of Syngnathoides biaculeatus (alligator pipefish), 1230 nucleotides long. RefSeq lists it as uncharacterized. The transcript has 3 exons. The record is from RefSeq and is a predicted model, not a curated record. Lineage: Eukaryota; Metazoa; Chordata; Actinopteri; Syngnathiformes; Syngnathidae.
GUGAGUUCCUUGCCCCGUCUCGAACCUACUGUGGUGUUUGUCUUCACUCGCGCCUGCGGUGAAAAAGCGAUGCUUCGGGGCUGGCAGUACCUCUGCAGUCCCACCAGAUGGCGACUGUUGGAAGGAUGCCGAGCAGGAUGAGACAGGAAGAACUCCGUCAAAGGGGUCAGGGCUUCCUUUCUGGAGGACACGUCCGGAACAAUGUGCCUGCGAGGAGGUACUUCUCUGCUGCAAAGGGUUUUUGGGCCUCGGAUACAAAAAGGACCUCCGCAUUAGGAGCAGGCACCGAGUGCAUAUAGGAGACUGUACUGACCAAGUGCCUCGGCAGACCUUCGGGCUACCACAGGUACCUAGACGACAUUCGGGGACUCUGGAUGAGGAGCCGGGACGAAUUCGAACGCUUUGUACAGGAGUGCUUCCUACGGUAUGCCGGGAUUUCCUUGCCCCGUCUCGGACCUACUGUGGGGUUUAUCUACACUCGCGCCUGCGGUGAAAAAGCGAUGCUUCGGGGCUGGUAGUACCUCUGCAGACCCACCAGAUGGCGACUGUGCGAAGGAUUCCGAGCAGGACGAGAGAGGAAGAACUACGUCAGGUGGUGCACCACGGGCCCGUCUCGCCUGCAGCGUCGGGGAGGUGGAGCCUGAGCGCGUGCGAGCACACAAACCGAGAAACAGGAUGUUUACGUGUGGUGGGGCGGCGGGGGUGGCUACGCUACCACCAGUGAGUGAUUUCUCAUUUCUGUCAGUGUAAUAAAGAGGAAAAAACAACACCCCCUCAACAGACAAACAGCAUUACUCCCUCCUGCUUUGCUGAGCCAGAUGGUGGCGCCUUCAGCCCUUUUACCUUUGGCAGUCCGGCUAUCCCUGGAAUUUGAACAAAUUUUCUUUUGCAAAAAUAAACAGCGUCCAGCCUCCGUAACGUGUACAAGUAUCUUUUGCUUUCACUCUGGCUUCCGCCUUGUCGCUUGCUAAAUCGGCUGUUUGUCCUUUAAGUGAAGAGACCGGCCUUGCAGGCAUCAUCACCCUGUUUAGACAUGGCUCCGGCGGCUGACGCUCCGACGGACAUUUGGAGCCAACGGUGAAGCGCAUUCGUGCUUUGUGUGAGUAAAAAAGAAACUUUUGUGAUGUGUUAAGAAAAAAAAAAAAAAAAAAUCCCGAGCUUCCUUCCGUGACUCUGGGGCUUUUCCUAAAGCUUUAAAAAAAAAAGAAGAAGAAAGAAUAAAAAAGAUGA